UCUACAUGAUCCCUUACAUAAUAUGUUUGAGAGAGAGAGAGAGAGAGAGAGAGAGUGUUUCUCUCCUCACUCUCUCUGUGCUCUCGUCUGCUGCGGUUAUCAUGGACAAGCAGUCUUCAUAUCAGCAGCUUGCCUCCUAAACGGACGUGACAAAAGAGUGGUGUGGACUGGGCUUCUGAAAGCACCGGGCCUACAUGCCUCAUACUUUCAACAGACUCUUCAUCCUUCAGACAGGCACAUCACAAACUGGACUUGGAGCUGUUCUUUCACAGACAUUACGAGGUGACAGAGUGAACUGACAUCAGGAAAGCGUCAUGAGCACUGAAAAAGAGCGCAGCGUCCUGAAUGAUGCUGAUGAGGAGAAGGAGGUGAAGGAUGAGAAGCCGGCUGUGAAGGAGGAGCUGUCGGAGGAGCAGGAGCUGGAGGAGCUGAGGGCUCAGGUGCUGCAGCUCCUGCUUGAGCUGGAAGAAGCUCGAGACACGGCUCAGAAACACGAGGAGAGCUUUCUGGAGCUG
Long non-coding RNA from Onychostoma macrolepis, 515 nucleotides. RefSeq lists it as uncharacterized. The transcript is spliced from 3 exons. The record is from RefSeq and is a predicted model, not a curated record. Lineage: Eukaryota; Metazoa; Chordata; Actinopteri; Cypriniformes; Cyprinidae.